RNAcentral lists this ribosomal RNA (450 nucleotides) under uncultured bacterium. RNAcentral describes it as "partial 16S ribosomal RNA". It matches the Rfam family "Bacterial small subunit ribosomal RNA", at positions 354 to 796 of the family's 1533-position model. The record is from RNAcentral.
GUGGGGAAUAUUGGACAAUGGGCGAAAGCCUGAUCCAGCCAUGCCGCGUGUGUGAAGAAGGUCUUCGGAUUGUAAAGCACUUUUAGUUGGGAGGAAGGGCAGUAAGUUAAUACCUUGCUGUUUUGACGUUACCGACAGAAUAAGCACCGGCUAACUUCGUGCCAGCAGCCGCGGUAAUACGAAGGGUGCAAGCGUUAAUCGGAAUUACUGGGCGUAAAGCGCGCGUAGGUGGUUCAGCAAGUUGAAGGUGAAAUCCCCGGGCUCAACCUGGGAACUGCCUCCAAAACUACUGAGCUAGAGUACGGUAGAGGGUAGUGGAAUUUCCUGUGUAGCGGUGAAAUGCGUAGAUAUAGGAAGGAACACCAGUGGCGAAGGCGACUACCUGGACUGAUACUGACACUGAGGUGCGAAAGCGUGGGGAGCAAACAGGAUUAGAUACCCGGGUAGUCC